UUCCGGUUGAUCCUGCCGGACCUGACUGCUAUCGGAUUGAUACUAAGCCAUGCGAGUCAUUGUAGCAAUACAAGGCAGACGGCUCAGUAACGCGUAGUCAACCUACCCUAUGGACGGGAAUAACCUCGGGAAACUGAGUAUAAUGCCCGAUAGAACACUAUACCUGGAAUGGUUUGUGUUCCAAAUGAUUUAUCGCCGUAGGAUGGGACUGCGGCCUAUCAGUUUGUUGGUGAGGUAAUGGCCCACCAAGACUAUUACAGGUACGGGCUCUGAGAGGAGUGGCCCGGAGAUGGGUACUGAGACACGGACCCAGGCCCUAUGGGGCGCAGCAGGCGAGAAAACUUUGCAAUGUGCGAAAGCACGACAAGGUUAAUCCGAGUGGUUUCUGCUAAAGGAACCUUUUGACAGUCCUAAAAACACUGUUGAAUAAGGGGUGGGCAAGUUCUGGUGUCAGCCGCCGCGGUAAAACCAGCACCUCAAGUGGUCAGGAUGAUUAUUGGGCCUAAAGCAUCCGUAGCCGGCUCUGUAAGUUUUCGGUUAAAUCUGUACGCUUAACGUACAGGCUGCUGGGAAUACUGCAGGGCUAGGGAGUGGGAGAGGUAGACGGUACUCAGGAGGAAGUGGUAAAAUGCUUUGAUCUCCUGAUGACCACCUGUGGCGAAGGCGGUCUACCAGAACACGUCCGACGGUGAGGGAUGAAAGCUGGGGGAGCAAACCGGAUUAGAUACCCGGGUAGUCCCAGCCGUAAACUAUGCAAACUCAGUGAUGCAUUGGCUUAUGGCCAGUGCAGUGUUGCAGGGAAGCCGUUAAGUUUGCCGCCUGGGAAGUACGUACGCAAGUAUGAAACUUAAAGGAAUUGGCGGGGGAGCACCACAAGGGGUGAAGCCUGCGGUUCAAUUGGAUUCAACGCCGG
RNAcentral lists this ribosomal RNA (913 nucleotides) under unculturable Mariana archaeon no. 15. RNAcentral describes it as "bacterial SSU rRNA". It matches the Rfam family "Archaeal small subunit ribosomal RNA", at positions 1 to 921 of the family's 1478-position model. The record is from RNAcentral. Lineage: Archaea; Thermoproteati; Thermoproteota.